This 459-nucleotide long non-coding RNA is filed under the name Eucalyptus grandis. Its description in RNAcentral is "long non-coding RNA (EGRA_LNC003030)". Lineage: Eukaryota; Viridiplantae; Streptophyta; Magnoliopsida; Myrtales; Myrtaceae. The record is from RNAcentral.
UUUUUUGCUAUCUUCAAAGGAAAUAAAAAUGGCGAUGGGCAUGCUCAAGAUUUGUCUGUGCCUAAUGCUGAUAUUGCUUUCGGUUCCAAGCUCCCGUGCACGAGCUCCCCAUGUCGUGAUUCGAGGGAAGACCCUUAGUAUGGUGGUUCGAGCAUUACGUGAAGACUAUGGAAAUGGAGAUAACAGGCAAGGAAGCCCUUAUGAGCUUAUGAGGGCAAGUCCCAGAGGUCCUAAUCCGCAACAUCAUUGAACAAGAUGAUUGCCACCUCCUUCUAUUUGCAAAUGGCGUCCCAGGGAGCAUGAGACAAUGCUUUUGUUUCUUUAUUGUCUCUCUUUCACUAUCAUUUUCUAAUGUAAUAUCAUAGUCAGGUUUUCACGUUGAGUGGCUUACGGAAUUUGUGGGAAUGGCAAGGAAGAGUACUGCAUUUAUUGUGUUUAUCAUAAGCGGACUUAUAGCAG